RNAcentral lists this ribosomal RNA (327 nucleotides) under uncultured eukaryote. Its description in RNAcentral is "partial 18S ribosomal RNA". It matches the Rfam family "Eukaryotic small subunit ribosomal RNA", at positions 1470 to 1796 of the family's 1831-position model. The record is from RNAcentral.
CCCUUAGAUGUCCUGGGCCGCACGCGCGCUACAAUGACUCACUCAGAAAGUUUUUCCUGAUCCGGAAGGAUUCGGGUAAUCUUCAUAGCAUGAGUCGUGUUAGGGAUCGAUCUUUGCAAUUAUAGAUCUUGAACGAGGAAUGCCUAGUAAGUGCAGCUCAUCAGGCUGUACUGAUUACGUCCCUGCCCUUUGUACACACCGCCCGUCGCUCCUACCGAUUGGGUGUGCUGGUGAAAUGUUCGGAUCGGCCGUUUGUCGCGGUUUCCGCGUCAUGUGGCUGAGAAGUUCAUUAAACCCUCCCACCUAGAGGAAGGAGAAGUCGUAACA